RNAcentral lists this ribosomal RNA (449 nucleotides) under uncultured bacterium. RNAcentral's name for it is "partial 16S ribosomal RNA". It matches the Rfam family "Bacterial small subunit ribosomal RNA", at positions 29 to 523 of the family's 1533-position model. The record is from RNAcentral.
AACGAACGCUGGCGGCAUGCCUAACACAUGCAAGUCGAACGAGACCUUCGGGUCUAGUGGCGCACGGGUGCGUAACGCGUGGGAAUCUGCCCUUGGGUUCGGGAUAACAGUUGGAAACGACUGCUAAUACCGGAUGACGUCUUCAGACCAAAGAUUUAUCGCCCAGGGAUGAGCCCGCUUCGGAUUAGCUAGUUGGUAGGGUAAAAGCCUACAAAGGCGACGAUCCGUAGCUGGUCUGAGAGGAUGAUCAGCCACACUGGGACGGAGACACGGCCCAGACUCCUACGGGAGGCAGCAGUGGGGAAUAUUGGACAAUGGGCGAAAGCCUGAUCCAGCAAUGCCGCGUGAGUGAUGAAGGCCUUAGGGUUGUAAGGCUCUUUUACCCGGGAUGAUAAUGACAGUACCGGGAGAAUAAGCCCCGGCUAACUCCGUGCCAGCCGCCGCCGUAA